This is a long non-coding RNA of Bactrocera latifrons, 319 nucleotides long. RefSeq lists it as uncharacterized. The record is from RefSeq and is a predicted model, not a curated record. The transcript is spliced from 3 exons. Lineage: Eukaryota; Metazoa; Arthropoda; Insecta; Diptera; Tephritidae.
UGUAUGCUCAAACUAAUAACUUAUAAAAAUAUAAAAAUUAGUGAAAUUCGUUGAUAAGGUGGUUUAUAGAAUCUGAGAUUGUGUGUGGAUAAAAUGAAUUACUAAUUUAUAAACAAUACAAUGGCUUUUCAAACUGUGAAUCCAGUUCAGAGAUAUAUUGGUCAUCGCAGAACGUCUUUUGUGAGAGAAACUCUCGGAGAUCAGCUCUAGUUCCGUUCCAAGUAAAUGGUUUAAUAAUUUUUCCUGUCGCUAAUUGCUAGAUAAUGAAACAGUUGCAAAUUGUUGGCUGAAAACACCUGCGCAAUUUGCGAAACUCCAC